GCCGUCUUAGCAUAGUGGUUAUUGCACUUGGCUUGUAACCAAGGGGUCCCCAGUUCGACUCUGGGAGUCGGCA
Molecule: non-coding RNA, 73 nt
Organism: Zophobas morio
Lineage: Eukaryota; Metazoa; Arthropoda; Insecta; Coleoptera; Tenebrionidae
Source: the annotation of a RefSeq genome assembly